GUCAGGAUGGCCGAGUGGUCUAAGGCGCCAGACUCAAGAUUUGUUGGCGAGGGUUCAAAUCCCUCUUCUGACA
Non-coding RNA from Oncorhynchus mykiss (rainbow trout), 73 nucleotides. NCBI's taxonomy places the organism in Eukaryota, Metazoa, Chordata, Actinopteri, Salmoniformes, Salmonidae. The record is from the annotation of a RefSeq genome assembly.